RNAcentral lists this microRNA (24 nucleotides) under Glycine max (soybean). RNAcentral describes it as "gma-miR1520q". The record is from miRBase by way of RNAcentral. Lineage: Eukaryota; Viridiplantae; Streptophyta; Magnoliopsida; Fabales; Fabaceae.
AUUGACCAAUCAGAACAUGACACA